This 163-nucleotide unclassified non-coding RNA is filed under the name uncultured Beauveria. RNAcentral's name for it is "sequence contains ITS1". The record is from RNAcentral. Lineage: Eukaryota; Fungi; Ascomycota; Sordariomycetes; Hypocreales; Cordycipitaceae.
CCGAGUUUCCGAACUCCAUACCUUUGUGAACAUACCAUCGUUGCUUCGGCGGGUUCGCCCCGGGGCGCGCAGCUCGCUGCCGCCGCGGACCCAGGCGCCCGCCGAGGGACCCAAACUCUUGUCUUUUAUAGCGGAAUCUUCUGAGUCUUACAAUAAGUAAUCA